CAAAUAAAACACCUUUUUCCACACAAGACCUUUGUAUCCUGCCUUUUGAUAUGCUUUUCACCACUUCAAAGAACACAGAUUCUUUUCUCUGAUGUAGUAAGAGAAGUUCCUAAAAUCAGAGAAGAAAAGCUUUGAAGUAUGCAGGGGUUGUGUUUCUUGCCAUGGAGACCACAUGCCUAUGAAUGUUUGCAGCUGCCGGCUUCCAGUAACAGAUGCUGAAAAAGAAGGUGGUCUUGCCAAGGGGAUGGCUGCACCCAGAGCCUUCCAGCACAGACAACCAGGCAUGAAAGUGACAAUAACUGUAGUUCAUAUGCCAGCAGCUUCCACAGGAAGGCAUAUCUCGCUGGCCUUGGUCUCAUCAACACCAACAGCAGUACGUCUCCACUAUUUCUACCAACUUAUACAUGCUGAAAUGCAAGGCAAGGAAAGGGGGAUGGAGGGAUUUCCUUGUGAUUUAACGUCCGAAGAGUUUGUCAUGUUAUAUAUAUAUUUGCACCUCUUGAUAAAAGCCACAGACUAAAUUAUCUCUCUUUUAUUAAGUUUCCAGAAAGAAAGAAAUAGAAUAAAUUAAUAUUAGAAAUAUUAAUUAUUGUAACA
Molecule: long non-coding RNA, 597 nt
Filed under: Anas platyrhynchos platyrhynchos (common mallard)
Lineage: Eukaryota; Metazoa; Chordata; Aves; Anseriformes; Anatidae
Description: lncRNA (ENSAPLG00000030116.1)
Source: RNAcentral